Molecule: ribosomal RNA, 423 nt
Filed under: uncultured Diversisporaceae
Lineage: Eukaryota; Fungi; Glomeromycota; Glomeromycetes; Diversisporales
Description: SSU rRNA
Rfam family: Eukaryotic small subunit ribosomal RNA
Source: RNAcentral
GGGAGGUAGUGACAAUAAAUAACAAUACGGGGCUCAUUCGGGUCUCGUAAUUGGAAUGAGUACAAUUUAAAUCUCUUAACGAGGAACAAUUGGAGGGCAAGUCUGGUGCCAGCAGCCGCGGUAAUUCCAGCUCCAAUAGCGUAUAUUAAAGUUGUUGCAGUUAAAAAGCUCGUAGUUGAACUUCGGGAUUUGUUUAUUGGUCAGGCUUCACUGUCUGUACUGGUAUAACGAAUUCCUACCUUCUGAUGAAUCUUCAUGCCAUUUACUUGGUGCGGAGGGGAAUCAGGACUGUUACUUUGAAAAAUUAGAGUGUUUAAAGCAGGCUAUUGCUCGAAUACAUUAGCAUGGAAUAAUAAAAUAGGACGGUUGGUUUUAUUUUGUUGGUUUCUAGGAUCACCGUAAUGAUUAAUAGGGAUAGUUGGG